GUAAACCAUAGCGAGCAAACCGUGACGGCGUCGCAAGGCGUCGUCGCGGUUAAUAAGGAUAACCCUGGUAAUUCUGAGGCUAAUACAAGAACGUACAACCCACCCGACCCGCAAGGGAAGGGGGGGGAAUGUGUGACCAGGCACGCAAAUUCGAAACUGGGAGUGGCCACACGUUCAGACCGCCAUACCAAACAGUUGUUCGCUUCGAAAGUCCUCGUGACGAGUAACGGCGGGUUUCUGGGCGGCUCUCGCUGUGUGCUUCUGACCUAUCAACUAGAUGGCAGCGUAACGGACAUGCUAUGGUGACAACGGGUACAGAGGAUAAGGGUUCGAUCCUGGAGAGUGGGCCUGAGAGAUU
RNAcentral lists this ribosomal RNA (358 nucleotides) under Badhamia albescens. Its description in RNAcentral is "SSU rRNA". It matches the Rfam family "Eukaryotic small subunit ribosomal RNA", at positions 112 to 405 of the family's 1831-position model. The record is from RNAcentral. Lineage: Eukaryota; Evosea; Eumycetozoa; Physariida; Physaraceae.